Long non-coding RNA from Mustela erminea (ermine), 405 nucleotides. RefSeq lists it as uncharacterized. NCBI's taxonomy places the organism in Eukaryota, Metazoa, Chordata, Mammalia, Carnivora, Mustelidae. The record is from RefSeq and is a predicted model, not a curated record. The transcript has 2 exons.
UGGAGAAACUGCUCUGAGACAGGCCACAAUAGCAUCUGGAACCUCCUGUGAUCAGCUGCCAGGAUCCUUUAAUGAGAAGUUGUGUGUUCUUUGAUGUCUCUCUGAGAGUCGCUCAAGAGAAAGGAGAUGUUAGCCAAGAUGGGAUUUUCCCAAAAGAAUUCUUUAGAAAAGUGCCAGAACCUUUACCUUCCACCUUGACAGUCCCCAGAGACAAACUGAAAGGACCUCGCUUAAUGUCUCAUCCGAAGGGUAUUUGCAAUGCUGGCUUCAUCAUUCAAAGCAGGAAAGGCCUUUGUCAUGGUCAGAUGGCUUUAAUGUGUUCUGAAUGCUACAUAAAUUCAAACUUGAUGGCUCAUUUAUUUGUUGGAUUGAAGUUUUAUACAAUAAACUAAGCCUUGGUAUUUA